Heterocephalus glaber (naked mole-rat) is the source of this 463-nucleotide non-coding RNA. Lineage: Eukaryota; Metazoa; Chordata; Mammalia; Rodentia; Bathyergidae. The record is from RefSeq and is a predicted model, not a curated record.
AGCUGGGAAAACUGAAGAUCUGAGGACACCAAAAAGACCCUCAGAAGCAGAAGAGCCACAGGAUGAAACGGGUCCAGGUCUCCAUAGCAACCCUGGAGGAGAGGCCUGCAGGGUCGAUGCCUGGUCCUCAGCAGGCUACAGCAUCGGAUGUCUGCGAGGAUCUCACAGUAGAGACAGAAUUCCAAAUCAGGCUUAGCCACAGCUAGAGCCUGGUGCGAUAAGAUGCCUGGAUGGAGACCAAGGCUUGAGAGAGGCAAAGGAAUGAGUGGGAAUGAGUGGAGAGAAAACAAUGAGAACCAGGAAGAGGAGAUGAGUGAGAGGAGACUGUUCAACACUCACACUUCAAACCUGCGUGCUGAGACUCCCUGGCACCAGCCCGGUGGUGCUGGCCUCCUGAGUUGCUUUCUGUUUUAGGGUUGGUGUUUGCAGGAUUUGAGAAUCCAUUUAGAUAAUUCCCAUAAGA